RNAcentral lists this ribosomal RNA (391 nucleotides) under Clostridium perfringens. RNAcentral's name for it is "bacterial SSU rRNA". It matches the Rfam family "Bacterial small subunit ribosomal RNA", at positions 384 to 793 of the family's 1533-position model. Lineage: Bacteria; Bacillati; Bacillota; Clostridia; Eubacteriales; Clostridiaceae. The record is from RNAcentral.
UGAUGCAGCAACGCCGCGUGAGCGAUGAAGGCCUUCGGGUCGUAAAGCUCUGUCCUCAAGGAAGAUAAUGACGGUACUUGAGGAGGAAGCCCCGGCUAACUACGUGCCAGCAGCCGCGGUAAUACGUAGGGGGCUAGCGUUAUCCGGAAUUACUGGGCGUAAAGGGUGCGUAGGUGGUUUUUUAAGCCAGAAGUGAAAGGCUACGGCUCAACCGUAGUAAGCUUUUGGAACUGUAGGACUUGAGUGCAGGAGAGGAGAGUGGAAUUCCUAGUGUAGCGGUGAAAUGCGUAGAUAUUAGGAGGAACACCAGUAGCGAAGGCGGCUCUCUGGACUGUAACUGACGCUGAGGCACGAAAGCGUGGGGAGCAAACAGGAUUAGAUACCCCGGUAG